This 67-nucleotide transfer RNA is filed under the name Ifremeria nautilei. RNAcentral's name for it is "tRNA-Ile". Lineage: Eukaryota; Metazoa; Mollusca; Gastropoda; Provannidae. The record is from RNAcentral.
AGUACUACGCCGGAUGAACGGGAAUCAUUGAUGUUGAUUAAUAUAGGACUUAUUGUCUUUAGUGCUA